RNAcentral lists this ribosomal RNA (372 nucleotides) under Triticum aestivum (bread wheat). RNAcentral describes it as "partial small subunit ribosomal RNA". Lineage: Eukaryota; Viridiplantae; Streptophyta; Magnoliopsida; Poales; Poaceae. The record is from RNAcentral.
AUGUGCUCCCCUUCCUCCACCCCGACUCCCCGAGCUCCUCCCUCAGUGUGCAGUGAUUUGCUAACCACUGUUGUGCUGCGAGGAGGAGAGACGGCGCCCUCAUCGUCGACAUCCCAAUUUUCUGUCUCUUGUUCUCUUCUUCCACAGGUUGCGGUAGCAGCAGAACUAGGAGGUGCCUUAGGUGGCAUGGUUAGGCAGCUGUCAGUUGGUCAGUUUGAAAAUGAAGGAAGAAGGGUUAUCUAUGGCAUUCCUAACAACGCACGGGCAGCUAGAAAAUUACUGGAACGGCAAUUGUCUAUUAAUAGUGUGCCCAGAAAGAUAAAUCAGCUUGCAAGGCUCUGGAUUAUAUAUCCACUUUCACCAAUUGCUUGA